Molecule: ribosomal RNA, 253 nt
Filed under: uncultured bacterium
Lineage: Bacteria
Description: partial 16S ribosomal RNA
Rfam family: Bacterial small subunit ribosomal RNA
Source: RNAcentral
UACGUAGGGUGCAAGCGUUAAUCGGAAUUACUGGGCGUAAAGCGUGCGCAGGCGGUUUUGUAAGUCUGACGUGAAAUCCCCGGGCUCAACCUGGGAAUUGCGUUGGAGACUGCAAGGCUAGAAUCUGGCAGAGGGGGGUAGAAUUCCACGUGUAGCAGUGAAAUGCGUAGAGAUGUGGAGGAACACCGAUGGCGAGGGCAGCCCCCUGGGUCAAGAUUGACGCUCAUGCACGAAAGCGUGGGGAGCAAACAGG